Punica granatum (pomegranate) is the source of this 378-nucleotide non-coding RNA. The record is from RefSeq and is a predicted model, not a curated record. NCBI's taxonomy places the organism in Eukaryota, Viridiplantae, Streptophyta, Magnoliopsida, Myrtales, Lythraceae.
GAAAAAUACAGGGUAUCGGAACCGAUCACCCCUAAUCGCUUCUCUCCAACCUCCCCCGCUGCCUGGCCUGCUCGGUUCUGCUCUGUUCUGUUCUAUGAAUCCUCACUCAAGGGGAGGGAAGACUUUCAUAUUGUUAUGCUUCCUUGAGUGGCCUAAUCGUUGAUAAUUUGCGGCUUCCAAAUUUCAGCCAUGUCUACAGUCAAGAUCUACAUUGUUUUUUGUCUUUUGAAGGUACUACUCAUUGUAUGGGCCUGUGGAGACUAUGGCACGAGAAGUGCAGUUGAAGGUGUUGAAGCAACCCUCUAGCGGGCGGUUCCUUUUCAUAUUCUCUAUGCAAGAGGUCAGAUUCUUAAUGGACCGGAUCGAUAAUAAAAGAAU